This 246-nucleotide long non-coding RNA is filed under the name Anas platyrhynchos platyrhynchos (common mallard). Its description in RNAcentral is "lncRNA (ENSAPLG00000017952.1)". Lineage: Eukaryota; Metazoa; Chordata; Aves; Anseriformes; Anatidae. The record is from RNAcentral.
GAACACCUUGCAAAGUAUGGUGUAUAUAAGCUUCUCCUGCAGCACAUCAUGUUAUUUGCUCUUCUUCUCUGGAUCUGUUUACAGAGAGCAGACUUUCUUUUAAUUGGCAAAGUGAUAAUGUGGUCUCUGUUGCUUAGAGCUGUUUGGCUGGUGAUAAAUAGGUUAUUGGCUCAAAACUCUCAUCUUCUGAGACAGCUGAUGUGGUGCAAGUCUGUGGCCCUGCUUGCUGUUGCCUGGCAGUCCUAA